GCUUUCUCUUCUCAAGGGUUGUUAAACAAUCCUUCUAUGACCUAUUGGAAGAUAGUCUCUCUUAGAAUUAUCCAUGUUGAACUACUAUAAUAUGAUACUGAUGUACGUGGAUUGGGACAAUCCAAGCACCCUUCUAGAUCAUCUCUAUAGAUCUUCAUCCCUAGGAUGUAGGAUGCUUCUUCUAGGUCUUUCAUAGAGAACUAUAAUGAUAACUACAGUUUCACACUCUGCA
RNAcentral lists this long non-coding RNA (232 nucleotides) under Elaeis guineensis (African oil palm). RNAcentral's name for it is "long non-coding RNA (EGUI_LNC039884)". The record is from RNAcentral. Lineage: Eukaryota; Viridiplantae; Streptophyta; Magnoliopsida; Arecales; Arecaceae.